This 465-nucleotide ribosomal RNA is filed under the name uncultured bacterium. Its description in RNAcentral is "partial 16S ribosomal RNA". It matches the Rfam family "Bacterial small subunit ribosomal RNA", at positions 338 to 795 of the family's 1533-position model. The record is from RNAcentral.
CCUACGGGAGGCAGCAGUGGGGAAUAUUGCGCAAUGGGCGAAAGCCUGACGCAGCGACGUCGCGUGAGGGAUGAAGGUCUUCGGAUCGGUAACCUCUGUCAGUAGGGAAGAACGGUCACUGUGCUAAUCAGCAGUGAAUUGACGGUACCUGCAAAGGAAGCACCGGCUAACUCCGUGCCAGCAGCCGCGGUAAGACGGAGGGUGCGAGCGUUAGUCGGAAUUACUGGGCGUAAAGGGCUCGUAGGCGGUAUGUCAAGUCAAGGGUGAAAUCCCCGCGCUCAACGUGGGAACUGCCUUUGAAACUGGGGAACUGGAGUGUGUGAGAGGAUAGUGGAAGUCCAGGUGUAGGGGUGAAAUCCGUAGAUAUCUGGAAGAACAUCAGUGGCGAAGGCAACUAUCUGGCACAUAACUGACGCUGAGGAGCGAAAGCGUGGGUAGCAAACAGGAUUAGAUACCCGGGUAGUC